ACUGGUACUGAGACACGGACCAGACUCCUACGGGAGGCAGCAGUAAGGAAUAUUGGUCAAUGGGGGAACCCUGAACCAGCCAUGCCGCGUGCAGGAAGACUGCCCUACGGGUUGUAAACUGCUUUUAUCUAGGAAUAACCCUUGGUAUGUAUACCAAGCUGAAUGUACUAGAAGAAUAAGGAUCGGCUAACUCCGUGCCAGCAGCCGCGGUAAUACGGAGGAUCCAAGCGUUAUCCGGAUUUAUUGGGUUUAAAGGGUGCGUAGGCGGCACUUUAAGUCAGGGGUGAAAUACGGCAGCUUAACUGUCGCAGUGCCUUUGAUACUGAAGUGCUUGAAUGCGGUUGAAGACGGCGGAAUGAGACAAGUAGCGGUGAAAUGCAUAGAUAUGUCUCAGAACACCAAUUGCGAAGGCAGCUGUCUAAACCGUUAUUGACGCUGAUGCACGAAAGCGUGGGGAUCGAACAGGAUUAGAUACCCUGGUAGUCCACGCCCUAAACGAUGAUAACUCGAUGUUUGCGAUAUACAGUAAGCGUCCAAGCGAAAGCGUUAAGUUAUCCACCUGGGGAGUACGCCCGCAAGGGUGAAACUCAAAGGAAUUGACGGGGGCCCGCACAAGCGGAGGAGCAUGUGGUUUAAUUCGAUGAUACGCGAGGAACCUUACCCGGGCUUGAAAGUUAGUGAAGAGAGCAGAGACGCUUUCGUCCUUCGGGACACGAAACUAGGUGCUGCAUGGCUGUCGUCAGCUCGUGCCGUGAGGUGUUGGGUUAAGUCCCGCAACGAGCGCAACCCCUAUGUCUAGUUGCCAGCAUUUAAAGAUGGGGACUCUAGACAGACUGCCUGCGUAAGCAGAGAGGAAGGUGGGGACGACGUCAAGUCAUCAUGGCCCUUACGUCCGGGGCUACACACGUGCUACAAUGGAUGGUACAACGGGCAGCUACACAGCAAUGUGAUGCGAAUCUCGAAAAGCCAUUCACAGUUCGGAUCGGGGUCUGCAACUCGACCCCGUGAAGUUGGAUUCGCUAGUAAUCGCGUAUCAGCAAUGACGCGGUGAAUACGUUCCCGGGCCUUGUACACACCGCCCGUCAAGCCAUGAAAGCUGGGGG
This 1103-nucleotide ribosomal RNA is filed under the name Sphingobacterium hotanense. RNAcentral describes it as "bacterial SSU rRNA". It matches the Rfam family "Bacterial small subunit ribosomal RNA", at positions 312 to 1417 of the family's 1533-position model. Lineage: Bacteria; Pseudomonadati; Bacteroidota; Sphingobacteriia; Sphingobacteriales; Sphingobacteriaceae. The record is from RNAcentral.